Anguilla rostrata (American eel) is the source of this 302-nucleotide long non-coding RNA. RefSeq lists it as uncharacterized. Lineage: Eukaryota; Metazoa; Chordata; Actinopteri; Anguilliformes; Anguillidae. The transcript is spliced from 2 exons. The record is from RefSeq and is a predicted model, not a curated record.
CUCUUCUAACCUACAAAUAGUCUACAAAUUGAGGUUCGACAGCUGUUCAGCCUAUAUUAUUACGCAUGCCACUAGAUCGCACUAGUUCGAAUUGGAUUGCAAAUUGGACGUCAUGUCCAGCGAGGGCUGAGAUAUGAGCUCUGGUCCACAGCAGCAAUAAGUCUCCUUUCUCCCACAGAGGGGCCCAUGGUAUUGAUACACAAUGACAGCCAACAGGAGCAGAGUAAACUCCAUACAAACUGAAUUGAGUGACAACAGCUCCACUUCAUUUGUAAUAAAAUGUUUCCUCAAUGGAUAAUCAA